RNAcentral lists this long non-coding RNA (25356 nucleotides) under Trifolium pratense (red clover). Its description in RNAcentral is "long non-coding RNA (TPRA_LNC002441)". The record is from RNAcentral. Lineage: Eukaryota; Viridiplantae; Streptophyta; Magnoliopsida; Fabales; Fabaceae.
UAGCAAAGAUCUACUACCUCAAAACUUGCAUUAAUAGAAAAAGAUAGAAACAAAAAGAGGAGGGAGACUAUACCAAAACCUGCUUACAUAUUAAUAAAUCUAUAAUUGGGUCUACCAAGUCUAUCCAUAUUAAAACUACCUCUGAUAUCUUGAGGGAUACUAUUCCACAGUUGUGGCUACUCUAGACUUAAUCCAAUAUUUGCAAGGCCAUCAGCACAUUUGAUAUCUUCUCUAUAAAUGUGGGAUAUCAUGAAGUUCAUGGAAGCAACGAUUUGAAUACAAUUAUGUCAUUUGUUCCUUAGUCUCCAAGGAACUAAAGAGGUUGCUUUGAAAGCCAACACAACCAAAGUGGAGUCAGUUUCAAGCCAAAGAUUACUUCAAUUGUUGUCCGCAGCUAUUUCAACAGCUUUCAUAGCCCCACACAAUUCAGCAAAAUAAGUUGUGUUUAACCCUGUGUUUUCAGCAAAGCAACAGAGAAGUUCUGCAUUGUGGUUCCUAAAAAUGCCUCCACAUGCUAACGAAGUAAGUGUUGAAGCACCAUCGGAGUUGCAUUUUACCAAGGUAACAUAAGGAGGCCUCCAAAUUACUUCCUUAAUAUCAGGGGCUUUAGGAGGGUGAAUACUGAUAUUAAAUUGCUUUGAAAUUAACGAUUCUUUGGUUUGUGAUUGUGAGUCGUUGUUGAAGUUGAUGUCAUCAUUGAAGAAAUUAACGAAAUCUUCUAUUUUCCGAGAGAAAUUAGAGAAGGAAUUUUGAGGGAAGCAUAGAAGGUUUUGAUUUUGGUUUUGGAGGAGAGGAGAAUCAAAAUUCAUUUUUGGAUGCACUUAUUAGUACUUGGAGUUUUCUAUAUAUGCCUAAUAUUUUUCUUUCCUUUUAUAGUCAAACAACUAAUUGUGGUUGUGAGUGAGAGUAAGUAUUGAAGUUUGAAUGAAGAUAUUUGGGGACUUGGCUUAUUUAUAUACUCAUCUAUAAUCUAUAAUCUAUAAUAUGUAAAAAGCCAGGCUUAUUUGCCUUUCUCUCUCCUCUCCUCAUUCAACCUCAUUCCUCACAUUUAUUUCCCUUAUGUGAUAUUAAUUCAUAUUUUACGUUAUAUAUUUCUCAUUCCAAAUGUGAUAUGUGAUAUUCAUUUAUUUCCCUUUUGUAAGAAGAGGACNNNNNNNNNNNNNNNGUUUACUAUUAUUAAGGAUCGCAUCAAUUUUGACUAAUAAUAUUAAUGAUAGUUUUUGUAUAUAUGGUAAUUAAAAUAAUGAGUAAACCAUUCAAGUUGGUCAAACUAUCAUUAAUCUCUCCAAUUCCGUCUAUGGUAUUAGUAUUACUAUUUUACUAUUAUUAUUAUUAUAGUAGGAUUUUAUUUUUUGACAAAUAUUAAAGAUUUAAUUGACUAGCAAACACUAAAUAAAAAAAUUAUGAGUUUAUGAUGAUGCAUGUUUUGGUUGUUAUUGUCACGCAGCCUUGAUAUAUGGUACUUUAUGGCAUUAAUUCGCUUCGCUAGACAUCUGGAGAAUGCAGAAGUUUUGGUUGAUGCAUUAAACCAUUCACGAAUUAUUUUUGUAAAGUCCAAUCCAUUUGCAGGUCUCAACUGAUUUGAUCCUUAUCCAAGUGAUCUGCAAGAAUGAACAUUAUUGGCCUCAUCUAUACUCAUUGGUAAAGCAAUAUCCUUAGAUAAUUAAGUGUAAUGAAUGGGAUUGAUAGAGAAAUUUGGUAACAAUAUCGACAUUUACUAACAAAUCAGAAAAUAGGGUAUGCAUUUAUACUCAUCUGAUUCGGUUUUAUUAUAUGAUCAUGAUCGAAUCAGAAUUCAUUAAGUCACAUUUUAUAUAUGCAUUAAUAUCAUUCCAUGUGUUUCUUAUCAAAAAUCAGAAACUAAAAGAGAGAAUUUGAGUGACUUAAUUAUACUGAAAAGGGUAUUAUAAAAUACCAUUCAAGUUGGUCAAACAAUAUCAAUCUCUCCAAUUCCGUUCGUGAACCAAAUAAAAAACAAAGCACGGGGAAAAAUAAGGUAAACAAGGUAACUAUAGUACACAUUUUAAUUUUAUACAAUAUUCAGCCUAAAAAAAUUUACGUACACAUUUUUUUUUUACAAUAUUCAAUAAUUUCCUUCGUAAACUGAUUUAUAUCACACAAAUCCCGAUCCUAAAAAUUAGGCAAUAAGUUAUGCAGACACUAGAAUUGCUCAACCCUUAAUUCUAUUUAAACGUGAAGACUUAACAAACAUUCUANNNNNNNNNNNNNNNNNNNNNNNNNNNNUUAUUUUUUUCUUCAGCUUGCUACUAUUUUUUUUUUUUUUUUCAUUUUCCUAUUUCCAAUGGCACCAAAACACGAUGCAAUUUCUGAAAUCACACCUGCUAAAGAGAAUUGGAACAUAAUCGUCAGAGUCGUCCGUCUUUGGUAUGUCAAAGAUAUGGCGAAAGACAAACUGCCAUUCUCAAUGGAGAUGGUGCUCAUGGAUGCUAAAGUAAUUAUAUUAUUAUUAAUUUUACAAAUUAUUGAUGUUUAUUUAUUAAUAUUAUUAUAUAUAUAUUUUUUACGGUANNNNNNNNNNNNNNNNNNNNNNNNAUACAAUUUUGAUUAUUAUAUAUAUGUAUGUUGUGAUAGUGUUUGUCAGUCAGAUUCAAAUUCAGAAAUUCAGCCUGACUGGUUUACUCUAGAAUUUUUGAACGACAUCAAGUGUUCAGAAAUUCCUAAUCACAAGUUAAAACUAAAAGUCGAUUGUCCUGCAAUGCUUAUGAGGAACAUUGAUCAAGCAGCUGGUUUGUGUAAUGGCACUAGGCUAACUAUAACUGAGUUGGGGAAUAAAUUUAUUGGUGUAAUAGUAAUUACAUGAAAAAAUGCAGGAGACAAGAUAUUUGUGUCAAUGUUGAAUUUGAUCCCUAGCGAUCCUGGACUACCAUUUAAAUUUAGGCGCAAACAAUUCCCACUGACUCUUUGUCUAGCAAUGACUAUAAACAAAAGUCAAGGUCAAUCGCUAUCACAGGUUGGUAUAUAUCUUCCUAAGCCAGUAUUUACUCACGGCCAGCUAUAUGUCGCAUUAUCAAGAGUCAAAUCUAGAAAGGGUCUGAAGUUGCUCAUACUCAAUGAAGAAGGUGUAGUCUGCACUACCACUACAAAUGUUGUUUAUCGUGAGGUUUUUGAUAAUGUUUAGUUUACACUCAUCUUCAUUUAAUUUAGGCCAAUAGACUUAUAAUUAUGUGAUAUUUAUCGUCAUAUUUUUNNNNNNNNNNNNNNNUUAAUUUGUUUGUUAACGAUUUCAUUCAUGUUUUCAAUUAAUAAGACAUUAUAAUCCCCGCUAAUGUUUUUCCACCUCAUGUGCUUCAAAGUUUAGACUAAUACAAAUACUACUCAACAUCCUAAGUUUUCAAUUAACACUAUGUUGUAUAUAAACUCAUGAUCGCAGCAUCAAACCACACGAGCAUGCCUUUUAUGACAUAGUGUUAAGUCAAUGUUGUAAUGACAACCAUGGCAAAUUUCGGCACUUAUUAGUUAAUCAAGAUUAACUUCCUAAACCAAAAUCAUAGAAAUCAAUACCUUCUUUUUACGGUAUUCAGGUGCUACUGCUGAUGCGACUGCACCUCAGACUGCUAAUAAACAUCCCAAAUCCGUGAUUAUCUAAUCUGCCAAAAUAUUGCUCAUCUUAUCUGCAUAUAAAUUAACCAAGAAAAUAACACAUAAAUGUGAGAUGNNNNNNNNNNNNNNNNNNNNNNNNNNNNNNAUAUGGUUAAUGAUACAUUUGAUUUCUCUAUUUGACAUCUAAAUAUGUAAAUUCCAGCUUGGUCGGAUAAACGUUCAGAAAUUGAUUUAGUGGUCGAUUUGAUUUCAAAUGCACAGUACCACAUAUUACCGUGUGACUCGAUGCAUUUGACAGUGGAUGAGAGUUCCGCCGGGAAGGAAUUCGAACGUUUUUCAUUUUCCUCUCUUCAUCUCCUCACUGCCGGCGCCGUUGGCACCGCACCUUCUUUCCCAGAAUCUGUCCUCCCCAUUCUAAUGGUUAUACUUUUGCAACCCAAGAUGCAGUAUAGAGAAAAUUGAAUGAAAAAGAUGAAGAACUUCAUAAUUGCUAAGUGCAACCCAUGAAUUACUUACGUCCAGAUGUAUCACAUAAUACAAUAUCAUAACCUUCCUGUUUUCCUCUUUUUACAGUCUGUGAAAGCACUGCAAAUAAUAUAGAAUUUACAAAAUUUAGUAUCCAAACCGUAUAUAACGUAAGGUUAUGAUAAAGAAACUAAAUCAGGCUGUAAAAUACAUCGAGUCUUGGUUAUUCAAUCAUUUUCGUGAGUUCUCCACACAGAAAGAUUGGUAGUACAUAUCAAUAUUAAAUUGUUCAAUUAUAAAGUACGUGACUUCAUUCCAAUUAAAGACUAGCUAGCAUUAUUCUUUAUAUUUAUUUUGACAAUAGCAUUAUUUUGACAAUAUCAUUAUUGUUUAUUUUAGGAUAAUCACCAAACCGUAUAUAUAACAAUAAUAAUAAGGAUAAUCACCAAAUAUUAUCUAAUUGAAGAUUCUGGGAAACUCAAAAAGUAAUGAACAGUCGGCUUGGAGUAAAAGCUAAUUCUAUUUGUACCUACUGAUGCCUUCGCUUUCUCAGUUUCAGCCAUAACAAUCUCACACCCAGUCCUUUCAGCCCAUAUUUCUAGCUGAUCACUAGCAGCUGCUCUGAAUGUAUCACCAGCUGCCAACAAUAUCUGUUGAAUUUUGAUAUGACCAAAAAAACAUGUGACCCAUAAAUAAGUGAUAAAAUAAAAUCUUGAGGAAUUAAGCAUCAUAAUACUUCAUACAGUACAAAACAUGCCCAAACUUGGGGUUAAUUUUAAAUAUUUAAAAAAUUGAAUUACUUACCCUUUUUCCUAUCUCUAGGUUCAAUUGAUUUUUAAGGGCUGAGUUUAAAUGGUAUUUUGGGUUNNNNNNNNNNNNNNNNNNNNNNNNNNNNNNNNNNNNNNNNNNNNNNNNNNNNNNNNNNNNNNNNNNNNNNNNNNNNNNNNNNNNNNNNNNNNNNNNNNNNNNNNNNNNNNNNNNNNNNNNNNNNNNNNNNNNNNNNNNNNNNNNNNNNNNNNNNNNNNNNNNNNNNNNNNNNNNNNNNNNNNNNNNNNNNNNNNNNNNNNNNNNNNNNNNNNNNNNNNNNNNNNNNNNNNUAUUGGAGAUAUAUAUAUUAUUGUAACUAAUAUAAUGAUUUUUAGUUUUCGACACAAUUUAUUUAGAAACUUUUAACUUCUACCUGGUGACUUAAUCGUAAAUGUAUUGAUUUGAUUUUUAUUUUUUUUAACAAAUUUAUUGAUUUGAUUUUAAAACACAAGUUUUACCAAUUUUCAGUUGGUUCAGUGGUGAUUGGCGCUGAAUUUGGUAGGGACGACUGUGGUUCAAUCCCCGCAACUGCGAUCCGGAGGAGGCUGAAAUCUCUUGAUGUCAGAACUGACCCCGAACCAGAUUAAACUGGUGGUGAAAAACAAAAAAAAAAAAACAAACAAACUUUGUCAACUAAAAAUAAUAAUCAAUAUAGUUGAUUAUUACUGACUCGUCCUUAAAUAUAUGAUUCUUUUGAGAAAUUUAAAUAUCUUAACUAAAAUUAAUAUUUAUUAUAUUCUUUUUUAAUUAGAUUAUAUUAUCAUUUAAAAACUAUAGUCAAAACACAAAUAUAUAAUUCCUCCGGUCACAUAGGCAUUUCAAAUUUUACUACAUGUGUAGUGAACAAAUUCCAGUGUCUUAAAAAAAAAUUAAAAUUUUAGUCACUAUUAUAAGUAAAAGUUAAGUAAGUGCGAUUUAUAUUGAACAUAUUGAUUUAUGCAUGUUAAAUUUAUAUUAUUUUUUUAUUUUUUAUUUUUAAAUUUAAAAUAUAUUAAAAUGUUUUUUUUUUGUCAUAUUUUUCCCGUGCUUGGCACGGGUCCGGAUACUAGUUGAAUCGAAGAGGAAACAAAAGGACCGAAUAGAUUGAGGGAGGGAUGAUUCAUUUCAAUUAAAAAAUAAUAAUAUAUAGUACUAAAAUUUGGCUGUGGUUAAAAGUAAGGCCAUAGAGGAUGUCUUUGAAUAUUUUUAUCAUCUUGCAUUAAAGAUUGGACCUAUAACACCUAAAUUAAAAUCUCUAGUAGUAUAUAGUGUAGUGCAGGUGCAAAUGUUGGACAGUGAAGUUUUACCAGAUUGAAUCGGUAUAUUAUGUAUUCACUUUGACAAGCAUUAACGAGUAAUUGACAAUUACAAUUGUUUUGAACUCUUUGACAUCAUUGUGAAAAAAAUAGUGGAACCGUUUCGUAUUCAAGCACAAUCUCUCAAGGGAUAUGAUGGAGAUAAUGGCUGUGAAUGCCAAAGAGGUGUUGACUAUUGGUGGGAUGGAAGAAGUUAGAACAACAGUUUUUGAGUUAACAUUUUAAUAACAGGGUAAGUUAUUUUCAAAGAGGGGGUGACGUUGAUCAACGAGGGAGCAAGUGUUCAAAAUACAUACAUGGCCGAUCAAAGAUGUGUGUUUUGAUAUUUUUAAACAUGCGAAAAUUUCUGCGAAGAAAGAAGUAUAAAUGAACUUCUUGAUUGACUCACAAGAUGAGAGAUCGACACUUCAACCUGCGAAUAUGUUGGUGUAUGAUUAGGUAGGCGAAAAACAUGUUUGUAUAGAUUUAACAGAAAAUUUUCCACCUGUAUAAUUAAAAAUUGAAGAUUUUAGUGUGGGAUGGACAACCUCACCUAAUUCCAAUUAUUUCAAAAAAAUUAAUCUCAACUCCUAAAUUUUGUCCACCGAAGAACACGUUAAAAUGAGCAAGUCUGUUCCUCAAUAAAUAUCGAUUGUUUAUUUCCCACUCACAAUCACAAUCACAAUCACAAUCACAAUCACAAUCCUUGCCUCCUCCUUUACUCCCUCUUCUCAACUCCACCCCAUUUCUUCGGCGCUCAACAACCAAAUCUCCUUUCUCUGCACGUUCACUUCAGGUAUUUUCUUCCUCUCAUUUUUUCAUCUUCAAUCUCUCCAUUUCCAUAUAUCGUUAUUAGAUCUAACACAUUCUCGCUCUUUCCUUUCGAUUCCGUUCGUUUUCUUAGAUCUUUGCGUUUCAAUUACACAUACAUCAUCGAUAUUCAUUCAUUCAUUCAUUGUUAGUUAUUCAUAAAUUAUUCCUCUGAUUUUGAUAAUCUUAGAUCAAUAUUGCACGAUCCUUAUUUGAUUAAUUAAAACAUAUUAUUUUUUUAAUCUUAGAUCAAUACUGCGAAUGUGUCACAAAGUGCUCCAGUACUCUAUUAGUGUAUCAAUACUGGAGAUUGGAGAAGCAAUGUGCCAUAGACUUGUUCGUCAUUUCUUCCUUAGUCUGAACCAAUGUUCUUCACUUCAUUCAGCUUCUUCUUCACUGCAAAAGCUUGAACAGACUGUUAGAGCUGAAGUAGAAGCCAAAAACUAUGUUAAAAUUCCUGAUAUCAUUUCCACUGUGUUGUCUCGAUCCCAAAAUUCAAAUCCUUUCUUUUUUUUUUAUCGUCUUUUCCGCAGAACUUACAAGUGCAAAUUGUUGAUGAAAUGAUGCAAUCUUUUAUAUCCAUCAGACCACGCUAUAAGCCCCGGCUAACCUAUUCCUACCUUCUUUCCUACACCCUCCAAAGUUCUCACCCCCUUCCUCUUGCACUCGCUAUCCUACAACGGACUCUACGUUCUGGUUGCUUACCAAUUCCUCAGACUCAUGUUCUCCUCUCAUCUGCUUGGUUGGACCGGCGAUGUCUGUCGCAUUCUGUGGCUAAUAUUUUUCUCGAGAUGCAAUCAAUUGGAUAUCAUCCUGACUGUGGUACUUGUAAUUAUCUACUAUCAUCUCUUUGUGCUGUUGAUCAGUUAGUGGAGGCAGUUAAUGUGUUGAAGGGUAUGGGUGGAGCAGGAUGUAUUCCCGAUUCAAAUAGUUACGACAUUGUAAUUGGUGCAAUGUGCAAAGCUCGAAGGACUUCUGACGCUCAAGAUUUAAUGAAGCAAAUGGUGGAGAAAUAUGGUUUGACCCCAGACCAUGGAACAGUGGUGAAAUUCUUGACAGCAUUACGGACAAACAAGGAGAUAUGGAAAGCUGUUGAGGUGAUUGAGUUNNNNNNNNNNNNNNNNNNNNNNNNNNNNNNNNNNNNNNNNNNNNNNNNNNNNNNNNNNNNNNNNNNNNNNNNNNNNNNNNNCGAGACGUGAGUAUGUUUUGGCUGCAAAGGUUGUUAUGGGGAUGACAGAAAGAGGUUUUAUACCGUAUAUCAAGGUGAGGCUGAAGAUAAUUGAAGGUUUGGCGAGCAUCGAUGAGUGGAAGAUAGCUUGUGCUGUGAGGGAAAGAUUUGCAAAACUUAAAUCUUAGCUGUUAAGUUAUUUAUAGUGAGCCUAGUUCGGUUCUUAAAGCUGAAGCUGAGAGUUGCAGCUCUUGGAUCUCAGAUUUGCCAAUCAAUUGGAGGUAUGAUCUCUUAAAUUAAAGCUUGGAAAAGAAGUGAGCAUAUACAGGAACAGGUUUUAUCGAGUUGUAGAAUUAAAGUUCCUUAGGCUGACUUUGAUUGUUGUAUUAUAUUAAAAUUAAAAUAAUUCAGCUGUAUAGUAUAUUUCGACACAAGAAAAUGGAGUAACUUUAUGUGUAUUAGUUAAACACCCUCCCCAAAAGGAAACAGUCUAAUAAUAUCAAUUGCACAGAUUAUAAUGUGGUCAGAAAUUUCAUGUAAUUUAUGCUUUAUUGUUCCAGUUUCCAGUCAUCUUUCUGUUUCUAGGGAAUGAUCAUUGCCAUUGCAUGAUUUCUGUAUAGCAUGCUAACCUUAUAAUCGACUUCGCUUUAUUUGGUUGAAUAUUUUAUUUUAUUUUUUGAAUAAUUUAUUUGGCUGAAAUCCAUAUACUUGACACAUAGAAACAGAAAAAUGAUCACUGUAGAUUGUAGUUAGCUAUGCCACGUCGGAUUGAAAAUUGGUGGGCCAUGCUCUUCUAUUUUUGCAAGUUUAUAUCUUUUCUUUCUUAUUUUUUUUUUCUGCCGCUAGAGGAAGCUAUGUAUCCAUACACCGGCGGUUGCUAGAUUCCGACUCAGAAGAUUCAAUGAAUCUGGUCUUUUUGUAUCGUUUUUUUAUUGAUUAGUCUGAUGGGUUCAUCUGGUGUAGUUUCAUAUGGUGGAGGUCGAAUUGCAUGUUCUUAUUUUCCCCCCUAAUCAAGUUUAGAAUCGUUUUGAAUUUUGAAUUAUGUAUAAUUUUCCCUCCUGGUUGAAUUUCCUCUGAUCCACUUGUCUAUAAAUUGGGGAUGGGUAAGAGUUGCAAUGCACAAAUUGAGACCAACAGAGUAUAGUUAGGGUUUUAGAGAGGUUAGUGAUUUUUACAAUUCUAUCUUAUAUCUUUGGUUGUAAUUUCAUUGAUGGUUGGUUAUAUCUUUAUUUACACAUGUAUUCUGCAUAUUCUGAUUUGUUGAUUAUUGUUCAUAGAUGGUUAUACCUUUAUUGAUUGUUGCUGAAGAUGUGGAAAGUGAUGCCCUUGCAAUUCUUAUCCUAAAUUAGCUUCGCGCUGGAAUCAAGGUUUGUUUUCCCUAUCUGUAGCAUAUUAGUUCUAAGGUACUUUAAAAUUUUGGAUUCUUAGUUUUGCUUAUUUGAUUUGGUAUUUGUUGCAUGGUCUUACUCUUAGGUAUGUGCAGUUGGGUUUUGGUAACAAUUUUGCUUAUUGAUAAUUUUAAUGCACGGUUGGGUUUUGGUACUCUUUAUUGGUUACUGUUCAUGAAUUUUUGGUUUUGGUAAAGGAUGCAGACUUUCCUUGAGUUAUUUGGAUUAGCUAAAAUUAAUUUUUCACUAAUUCCUCAACAUGUUUAGCAUUAUAAUAUGAGAAUACAAGGUCAAAUAAUGUAGACAACCUAAACUAAGUUUCUUAAUCUUUUAGAUUACAAUUUCCAAAGAUGACACUGUCAUUCUUGACGGUGCCGGUGAUAANNNNNNNNNNNNNNNNNNNNNNNNNNNNNNNNNNNNNNNNNNNNNNNNNNNNNNNNNNNNNNNNNNNNNNNNNNNNNUUUUACCAUUUUCAUAUAGAAAUAGGUCUGGUUUUUCAUUGAUGUUUCUUAUGAAGUGUUUCAUGUGAUGGGUUUUGUUUACAGAUUAGGUCGGCGGUUGAAAAUAGUACUUCAGAUUAUGACAAGGAGAAAUUGCAGGAAAGAUUGGCCAAGCUUUCUGGUGGUGCUAGGGAUGGUAAGAUUACUAAAAUGGUCGUCGUUGAGCUUACUGAUCAUAGGUAAAUGUUAUUUAUAUUUAUAGUGUAAUCAUCGCAAAUUUUAUUUUGCAGUAUUAUAAUUGUUUUGUUUAAUUUUGGUCAUAGUUAUGAUAAACAGUGGUAAGUGUGAAUGUGCUUUGUUUGGUGAUUAGGUUGACGAGUUGAACAAGAAAAUGGGGAAAACUUGCAAAAUUUAAAUUUUUUAGAGAUAAUGUAUUAUUAUAUUUGAAUUAGUAACUUCUCAAAUUUUCCACUGAUUGAAUUAGUUGUGUCCAGACAAAGCAUCCAUCCAAAAUGUCAUUAACACUACAAGGAUAUUGAUUAAUCCAGAUAUACCUGAGGUCGAAGCAUUCAAGAACAUGUUUGUUUCAUUUCUAAUAAAUUAUUGAUGUUUUUGUUGAGUGAUCGUGUAGUUGUGUUUGUCUUUGAUAAAGAUGUUCAGAAUUUGGCUGUGGAGACUUGUCCUCUUUUGUUAUCAAUGGUGGGUUGUGAAAUCUUUAUUUUUCUGGUUAUAGCUGUUCAUAUUUAAAGACAUUGUAUAAUGUGUUUUGCAGGGAGAGAGCUCUUCCUUAUAUCCAGAUGAGAUGGAGUGCUUUUACGGUGAUGCAACGAAGUUGGUGUUGUGAACAUGUUCUUUGACGAGUUUAUCCCAAAUGUUGAUAACUUUGUUGGUAUCUUGAAUCUCUAAUUUAAAUCUGUUGUGUAUUGUUUCAUCGUUUGAUUUAUCUGCUGAUUAUGGUAUACUCAAACAGAUUGAAACUCCAAAUUAUGAGUCUAUCAAAGAGGAGUUGAGUGAAGGCCAAAUUCUUUAUUAUUCUUUCUUUUUUUUUUUGGGUCAAGAAAUUCUUUAUUAUUCUUCCUGUGAAUCUAAAGAACCUGCUGAUGGUGAUGUUGAUUCAGGUCUGUCUUCCUAAUUUGUUGAUGGACGAGUGCGUAAAAAUGUAUUGUAUUUUUUAUAUUAGUUUGUAUCAUUAAUUUGUUUGAGUUAAUAAAUAUCAAUUUAUGUCUUAUUUAUUUUUAUGCAGGUGUCAUUUGCAAACCAAGUGGACAAUGGAGAUAAGAGUAGAACUCCAUUUCCAGGUCAUUCUUGCUUCCAACGUGAAAGAAGAAACUCAAAGAAUGGCAUGUCAACCUAUAUUGAGAAGUUUGUUUAUUCUAGGAGGAAAACCUGUGUUAAAAGAAAGCUUAGGUUUAGGUUUGAUGAUAAUGGUGAAGAUGCUAUGAACAAGAGCAAAAAAAAAACAUAUUUUAGUGAAAAUAAAUUUGUUAAGGAAGGAGUGUGAGAAGAAAAAAGAACUAUCACAUGAAAGUUGAGCAUUUUAAACCUCAAUUGCAUGGCCUAUAGUUUGGAUUAUACGCUGGUACACUCAACUUCAAAUGAUCUCCAAUGCAGGAGGCAUUUGUAUAUGAUACAGGCAGCAAUUGGUCUAUUCCCAGCAAAGCCUAGAUGUUUUGCAAUACAUCUAAUGAGCAACUCUUGGUUCUCCUGUUGUUUCUUAUUCAGUGACUUCUGUGGUUUAUCCUCCACCUCAGCGGAUUCCCUUUCCCUUUGGUUCAUUGAUGAGCUAUGGCAUAUGUAGUGUUCUCAUCUAUGUCAUAUAGCUAAGUUAGAAUUUGGUUUAAGUUAAUUGGAAGAAAUGUAAUUUAUUUCCAGGGUGCUAUUGAAUGGAGUCAUGUUAUUGAAGUUGUUUGAAGACGAUAACAUUCUUGAAAAUGCAAUUGAUGGAAAGCAAAAUAACAGUGAGUUUUUUUGAAAAACUAAAUUGUGUUUAUAUGAUAUCAAUUCCAUCACCUAUCUAUAGAAUUUAUAGCCCUUAUGUGCAGGAGUACUUUGACUAAGAGUUGAAAUUGAGCAUUUAAUUUCUUAUUCAAUUUAGUGGUAUGCCCUGCACAAUAAAUAUUACUACUUUAAGUAGUUACUGGAAACUGUUUGUUUGGUGUUGCCCCAAAGAAUAAAAAUCAUCAAAUAUGUUUUAAAACUAUAAUGACUGUAAUUAAAAAACUAAAGUAGGAAAACUAGUGAUAACACAUGUUUAACGUUGCAAUCACAAAAAAUUUACAAGAGUGGUACUAAAUUAAGUGUAAAAAAAACUUAAUUUAGCCAAAUUCAUUAUUUCUUAAUUCAUAUGUCUAAUUCUAAAAGAACGGGAGCGGAGAGAGUACUAAUUACUUUUGUCGGCAAAAAUAAGUAUUAAAUGUUUAUAUAAAUAUUAUAUAAGUUUAAUAUUGUGAUAUUUUUUUUUUGAAGAACUUUAAUAUUGUGAUAUUUCAGGUGUGAAUUAAAAGUUUCGUAUUAAAUAAAAAAGUUGAGGGUUAAACUCCAUCUUAAUUAAAGUUUUGGACGAAGAUGUGACUCAAAGAGUCUCUUGAUCUCUUUUUAUCUAAUCCACUAUUGGUCAUGAAAAGUCAGAGACUAGAAAGAUAGAUGUUAAAAGUAUCUCAACUGCAGGGUCAGUUCAACACUAAAUGAGGUCUAAAACAAAUUUUAAAGUGAGGUCUUUUGAAACAAAAUUAUUUUUUUAUAUCAUCAUAAUAAAUUUUAUUUAACAUUAAUUUCUUUUUCAAUACAUUUUUUUGUUAGAACUUUUUCAAUACAUUUAAUAUUUGUUGAGAUGUUGAUGAAUUCUUUAGAAGUUACAAAGUUGUUGUCUCAUUUUUAUCACGGGACCACUAAUCUUAUAGACCUUUUUGUUUUUCUCAGUAGGUUUUUUUUUUUCUACUCUAAACAAAUGAGCUUAUGACUUAUGAGGUAUUUUUUUUCUUAGUAUAUAUUUUUAAAAUAUUUUGGGAGUUUAAAACUCUUGCUUGAGUUACCUUACCUUUGGGCCAUCCCUGCUCAAGUGGCAAAUAAGAAUCUAUAAAUUUAAUAUCAUAAAGUUUUAAGUAAAAAUAUGCAGUAGAAUAUACAAUGCUCAAACUUACCUUUUUUUUAAUUUAGGGUUAAGUAGUUUAGUGGUUAGAAAUUUCACCCUUAAGGUAAAAAGUGGGAUGACCAGAGUUCGAACAUCGACCCAUGCAUAUAUAAUAUAAUGUCAUACUAACUGAAUUAAGCUCACAGAACUCAAACUUAUUUAUUUAGUUGCUAUUCAUGUAAUAUAUUUCUACCGAACACAAUGAUCUAUUUGGGAAAUCCAAACAUUUUUAAUACACACACAACUAAGCGACUUACAACAAAGUUACAGCAAAAUGAAGAAACCAAAUAACGUGAUUCAACAGUUAUUUACAAUUAUGAACGCACAUUAAAUUUAUUCUGAAGGAUCCAAUCUAGUACCACAUUUUUUGGUACUAAAAAACGUAGGAUCUCAUGUUAAUUUAUAAGUGCAUCGACCAUGCAAAUAUGCCUUUUGCAAAGGUUAAUUUAAUAAAAUGUUUUCGCAGAUUGGGGAAGAAAUUUCAUCCCCAUCUCCAAAUUUUCUUUCGAGGACUUUUCCCUCCAUCUUCAUCCCUGCAGAAUUUUUGUUUUACCAUUUUUUAGUCCCCAAUCAAAAUAGUUCCCACAAAAAUUCUCAUUUAUAGAUCAAAUUAACAUUUCUACUUUUGUGAAAUAAAUCUUGGUGAACAUAAAUUAUGUGGGGACUAUGUAAAUGAAGAUGACUACGUAUGAAUUUUGGGGCAUGUCAAUAUGCUUAUCUGUAAAAGAGAAAAUAUAUUUGUUAUAUUGAUCAGUUUAUACUUUAUAAUAUAUUAUAGUAGUAGAGUAGUAAACAAUAUUAUAUUAUUACCUAAACAAAAUAAUAGGAAAAUAUUUAAGAGUCUCAUUACAUAUAAGACAAAUGAUUCCGGUAUACUAAUACUUUUACUUUAUUUUUACAUGAUAAAUUAUGAUUUUGUUUGGUUUCUUAUAUAUGUUCCAUAUCAACUAAAAAGAUAUCUAGUCAUGUCGUGGCAUCGAAUAUGAGUAUGAUUUAAAUCUUGGUCAAGAUUAAUAUUUAUGUUAAUUACAAAAUAUUAUGUGGACUGAAAUAUAAGUAAUAUGUAUAAAAAAAAAGAAAAGAAAUAUAACUUAAUAUAUAUCAUUUUGGCUUCUUAAAAAAAAAAAGUAAUAUACUUUUUUUUUUAAGAUAAAAGUAAUAUACAAAUAUCUUUCUUGUCUAUGUUUGAGCUAGACACAUAUAUAUUUUUGUUUAUUUAUAUCUAAGUCCAAUAUGUAAAUUUAAUAACCGUGAAUAUAAAUUAAUUUGAUAAUGAAGAAAAAAUUAUCGUGUGUGAUACAUCAUUUUACCUAAACCAUAUAUAUAAUUACAUUUCUUAAAAUUCGAUUUCUAAGAAUCAAAGCCCAGCUUUCCUCAGAAUGUAAAAAAUUCCAACAUAGCUUUAAAUUGGCUGCUUCAUUAAGGCUAAUUAAGGAUCUCAGGCCAAGACCACCUUCAGAAUAAGGCACGCAAACUUUUAAAACGUGAUUUUACCAACCAUGGGUAAAAAUGAAACUAUAGGGGGCUUGAGCGUAAUAUGAAGGGUCUAAAGAGGAAAAUUCAUGGAAAUCAGGCAUUGGGCCAAACAUAAUCGAUCCAAACUAAACAUAAACAAAACAUAAUUGAGAUGUUAAAUCUUUGAAAAUAAAUUUCUCAUCAUAUGUCUAAAUACCUUUUAUUUUACUAAAUAUAAAUACAUGUUAAUAAUAAUAAUAAUAAAAUAACUGAAGUCACUAGGUUUAAUCUAGUGGCGAGGGGUUUGAGUAGAAUGUUAUAGGUCCUCCCAGCUCAUUGUAAACAAAAAUAAUAAUAAUAAUAAUAAUAAUAAUAAUAAUAAUAAUAAUAAUAAUAAUAAUAAUAAUAAUAAUAAUAAUAAUAAUAAUAAUAAUAAUAAAAUAAUGAUUCAUUAAUUAAGAUGUACGUAACAUCUUAUCAAAUUAUGUUUCUCAAGACUAAUGAGUUGUGGUAGUUUGGUGACCAUAAUCUUUCUUGAUUUUUUUUUACGGUAUAAUCUUUCUUGAGUUGUAAAUUAUAAUUAUCCACUAUGUUAACUCAGGUCGGGUCUAAAAAAUAGAUAUACUCUAAUAAAUAUACACAUUUAGCGUUUCAUAGAUCUCAAAUAAGAUUAUUUUCGAUAGAGGGAGCCUAUGUAAAAAAAGAAGAAAGAAAAAUAUUUUAUCUUCUCAUUAUAAAAUAUUUUUCUAAUGUGAGAAAAAAAAUUAUGUACAAAGUUCUCCUUCGUUAAAACAUAAACGUUAAUCAACUUUUAGAGCAAACAACUUAUCUCAUUUCAUUCUAUAUAAAAUCAUACAUGUUGGAAUAUAGAUAAAAAUAUGAAAGGUAACAAAAUGUUUAUGUCCAUUAAAAUUGAUCUUGAAAAAGCAUAUGACCGCCUAAAUUGGAAUUUUGUUGAAAAAUGUCUGGAUGAUUGUAAGUUUCCUCUCAAUCUUAUUAAUAUUAUUAAUCAUUGUAUCACGUCCCCUUCUUAUAAAAUUUUAUGGAAUAAAAGUGUCACUUUCACUCCUUUUGUCGCCCUACCUGUUUGUUAUUUGUAUGAAACGUCUUUCUCAUAUAAUUUCUGACCAGAUGGAGGCUAACUAUUGGAAACCAAUGUGUGCGGGUAGACAGGGGCCCAAAAUUUCUCAUCUUCUCUUUGCUGACGAUCUUCUUCUUUUUGCAGAGGCAACUAUUGAACAAGCUCAUUGUAUUAUGCAUUGUCUGGACCUUUUUUGUGAGGCGUCAGGUCAAAAGAUUAACAGCCAAAAGACUCAAAUUUUCUUCUCUAAGAAUGUAGAUGAGCAACUCAAAAGUGAAAUUGUUCGGCAUACAGGUUACACGCCAGUUAUCAGUUUUGAUAAAUAUUUGGGAGCCAACAUCGCACCAGGGAGGACUACUAGAGGAAAAUUUAAAACAAAUUGAGUGGUUGGAAACAUCAGUGUCUUAUCCGGAACCUAUUUUUCACAGUUUUUCGCGUAGAUUCCGAUUCCGGAAUCCGUUAUAUAAGAUGAAGCUUGGUUUAUACAGUUCACUUAAAAAUUGCAUACUUUCUAUAUAUUUAAUAAGGUUCGUAUGCUUAAGUGAAUCAAAUUAAUUGUUAUUAUUAAAGACUUAGUUUGGGCAUACUUACAUGGUUUUGAACUGACGUUUAUAAGUAAAUUACCAUGUAUAUGUUUGUGUAUUAUUUGUCUUUAAUGNNNNNNNNNNNNNNNNNNNNNNNNNNNNNNNNNNNNNNCACUUUGAUGAUGAUGUAGAUAAAUGAUACUUGAGCAUUCCAAUCAUUCGUAUUGUAUGAUGAGCAGAUACUUUAGCUGCGGUUGAAAGUAUAGCAGAUAUUUUAGUGGUGGAUAAAAUAUAUGGAUUCAGUUGGUCCAAUAAAUGAUGAUGAAAUACUGCAUGCAUUAGUAAUGCUAGGGGCAUUGCAUAAAUGUGGCAUUAGUUGCAUUAGGUAAUAUGUGCACUUAUGUGAGAUGUUUGGUAUUUGACAUAAUUGAUCCGUGUACUUAUAACUAUUUGAAUAUUUAUAAAUCUUUGAUUCUAUGAUGACUAUGAUGGUAUGAAAAUAUUGGAGAAGUUAGAUAGAAAUAUUUAAUUGAGUAGUAUAUGUGUUGUCUAUUUAAGUGUAUAGUAUGCGUACUUUUGCACUUGUAUGAAUUUCAUAACUAACCCUCUGUUGUUUGUAAUUGCUGGACCUUUGGGGGUCCAGAGUUGCAGGUUGAGAACCUUGAGCCUCGUAUCUAGUUGCGCCGCUUUAUUGCUACCAGUUCUUUUGGUGAGAGGAUAGCUUUAGGCUACUUCUAUUUUGUUUAAUAUCUAGAUUAUCCGAGUCUUAGUCUAGAUGCUCUGAUACUUGUACCACCUUAGGAUUCAUCUUUUGUCGCUUAUGAUGUUCGAAUUUAUGUAUUGGAGCCUUAUGCCGAAAUUAUUUUGUUAUUCGGAUGACUGUAUUACUACUAUGACUGUGAUACUUAUGCAUGUUUGGAUUAGUCUGUUGAACUAAUGUCUUGGGAUAUUAUGAAUAUGCAUGAUUUCAAAGUAUUUAUUUUAUGAGAUAUGAACUUGCUCUUACUUUAUAGAUGAAUAGGACAAGUUUUAUAUGAUUCCGCUGCAAUAUUAAUAUAUGUUAAUUAUGCAUGUUAUGUGUUUUAAUAUUUUAAAUGUAAUACUCUAAUUAAUGCUAUGCAUUUGUAUCAUAUAUUUAAUUAGCGCGCGUAGUAUUAGUUAGGGUGUUACAAUAGUGGUAUCAUAGCAAGGUCGAUCCAUCUCGGAUCAAGUAGGCUUAGAACAUCUUCGUGUGUAACAAGUGUAGGAAACACUGUUCAUGCUUUCAGUUCUAAUGGUUGUUUGGAUGGUUGAUUGUAAGGAAGAUGUCUAAGAGGAUGAUUGUGGAUGCCUUGGCUAAUAUGGCCAAUGCCAUUGCACAGGAUGCAGACAACCGGACUGCGGAAAGAGUAGCACAAGAGAACCGAACAGGUAAUGAAGAUGAGUUAAGGCUCGAGAGAUUCUUGAAGAAUCAACCACCUACUUUUGCUGGAGGAUACGAUCCAGAGGGAUCUCAGAAGUGGUUAGAGGAUGUUGAGAGGAUCUUUAAGGUCAUGAGAUGCACUGAGGAACAGAACGUUAUUUUGGGUACUUAUAUGCUAAGAGAAGAAGCCGACCAUUGGUGGGAUAACGCAAGUCAGAGACUUGGAGUUGGAGGUGUUGUGGUUACUUGGGCAAUGUUCAAGAGGGAAUUUUUGAUCAAGUAUUUUCCAGCUGAUGUGAAGAAUAGAAAAGUGAUUGAGUUUAUAGAGUUGAAAUAAGGUAACAUGUUUGUUGCAGAGUAUGCCGUCAAGUUUCAAUCCUUGUGUAGGUUCGCACCACACUACAAUACUGUUGUGGCUGAGCAUGAUAAGUGUGUGAAGUUUGAGAGUGGUUUGAGGCCUGAGAUUAAGCAUUUGAUCGGAUUUUCUGAGAUUAGAGACUUUCCAACAUUGGUAAACAAGAGUCGUAUAUGUGAUGAAGAUGGAAGAGCUAGAGCGAACCACUACAAGAUGGCUAAUGAAAAGAAAGGCAAGGAUGGGAACCGUUGGAAACCUUAUGACAACAAGGGGAAAAGGAAAGGUGAAAGUAGUGGAAAGAAAACUACUGAGAAUUAUGAUAAGGAGAAAGUUAAGUGCUAUAGGUGUGGAGGAUUUGGUCACAAAUCUUUUGAGUGCAAGAAAAAUGCUGUAUGCUUUAACUGCAAUGAAGAAGGUCACAAGAGCCCGAAAUGUAAGAAGCCUAAGAAGAAUGGUGGAAAUGUCUUUGCUUUGGAUGGUGGUGACGCGAAUGUAACAGAUAACCUUAUCAGAGGUACGUGUUUCAUUCAUGAUACUCCUUUAUGUGCCAUCAUUGAUACUGGAGCUACACAUUCCUUUAUUUCUAUUUGGUGUGUGAAGCGUCUUAAUCUAGAAACUACUGUUAUGUCGAAAUGCAUGGUAAUAGAAACGCCGGCUAGUGAUUCGGUUAUGACUAAGCUUGUAUGUGUUAAUUGUCCGGUAACUAUUUUCGGUAGACAUUUUGGUAUGGACCUUGUAUGUAUUCCUUUGAGUAACGUGGACGUGAUUUUUGGUAUGAAUUGGCUUGAGUUUAAUCGAGUUCAUAUUAACUGUUGUACUAAGACAGUAAUUUUCCCUAAACCGGAUGAGAGUCCGAAACCAAACCUUAUGGGUAGUAGUGAAGUGAUUAGAUCCUCGAAGGAGCACGCAGAAAUGUUUGUCAUGAUUGUCUCACUGAAGCUAGUAGGGCAGUCAGAAGUGAGUCAAUUACCUGUUGUUUGUGAUUUUCCGAAUGUUUUUCCUGAAGAUGUAUCAGAUUUACCACCUGAGAGGGAGGUUGAGUUUAGUAUUGAAGUAGUGCCUGGUACUAGUCCGAUAUCUAUGGCGCCGUAUAGAAUGCCAGCAUCAGAGUUAGAGCAAUUAAAGAAACAGUUGGAGGAGCUUUUGGAAAAGAAAUUUAUUAGACCUAGUGUAUCACCUUGGGGUGCACCGGUACUUUUGGUAAAGAAGAAGGAUGGAAGCAUGAGGCUAUGCAUAGAUUAUCGACAGUUGAACAAAGUGACAAUCAAAAAUAAGUAUCAAUUGGUAGUGGGAACAGAUUGAACACGUAUUUGAACCCCAGGGUACGUGGUUCGAUUCCCACGGAAGGCAAAAACUCCACUAGAGAGGGGGGGUGGAGAAGAUCGUGAGGUGACAGCCGGGAUUGCCUACUAAAUACGUAGAAAAGGGGCCCGGGCUGUUACACAAAGUUCUUUACAGCAAAUAUGGUAGAAACAACGAUCUUCGAGUGUCUAUGAACAAACAACCCUAUGAUUCUCCUUUUAUGGAAUGCCUUGGUUAGUAUUGGGGAUCAAUUCCGGAGUCACACAGUUUUGCAAGUAGGAAAUGGGCAAAAAAUAAAUUUUUGGCUUGAUAAAUGGAUGUCGUGUGGACACACUCUUAUGAAUCUUUCUACUCAACAUACUAUCGAUACAAUGAUUAUUGUGAAGGAUAUUCUAACAGAGACAAGAGAUUGGGAUAUAAAUUUCCUCACCAUGCAUCUCCCUCAUACCAUUGUAAACUAGUUGGUGACUUUACCGGCUCCGAAGGAUACAGAUGGUCCGGACUUGUUAGGUUGGAGCGGCACAAGCACUCGUCAAUUUACUGUGCGAAGCGCCUAUGACCUACAACGAGGAAAUAACCUCUCCAUUAAGGGAAAUUGGAAAAUUUUAUGGAGUUGGAAUGGACCUCACUGAAUCCAAACCUUUAUGUGGAUUGCUACCCAUGAACGCCUCUUAACAAACUACCGAAGAAGCAGAUGGUGGAAUGGGAAUUCACCCACUUAUCCUGCUUGUGGGCAGGAAGAUGAGACAAUUCUUCAUGUUACUAGUGGCUUCUAUUCAUAUUACUAACUUCUAUUCUUUGACUUGCAGGGACUGGAUCUUUGAUAAUAUAUCAGGAGCACACAAUAAGGAUUGACACACUAUUUUCAUGGUAACAUGCUGAUAUGUGGAGAAACAAGAGUAUAUUUGAGGAGACUUUUCGCCGUCCCAACAACCCAACUCCUGUCAUUCUUAGGAAGACAACAGAGAUUGAUAGAUGCAUGCAAACUCACUUGAAUGGAGGGACUCGGCAAAAAUAUACUAUUUUUAUUGGGUAGAUCGAACCUCAAGAAGGAUGGAUUAAACUCAAUUGUGACGGCACUCACAAAAGUUCAACUAAUAUGUCGGGAUGUGGAGGUCUUCUCUGAGACUGUUAUGGUAACUAUUUAAGCAGUUUUGCUCGUAAAAUUGGCUCAUGCGACACACUUCAUGCUGAAAUGUGGGGCAUGUACAUCAGAAUAGACUUGGCGCGGAGACAAGGAAUUACUCAUCUUCAAGUGAAAGUGAUUCGAAGGUGUUGGUCGACAUGGUAACAGAAAAAUGCAAUGUUAACGGAAAUAUCCCUACUUUGAUCAAGCGUAUUCAUGAUCUCAAGAACAUGAAUUGGCAGGUCCAUUUUAACCAUACAUGGCGGGAAGAAAACAGAUCAGCUAACUGGUUAGCUAAUUUCAGUCUAACAUUGAACUCUUAUGAGUUGCAGGUUCUAGAAUCUCCUCCAAGAAAGCUUAAAAGUCUCAUUUUUUAUGAUAGUCCCGGUGCUUGCAUGUCUCGGAGUGUCUUUGUAGUUUCUUAGUUUUUUUCCUGGACUUUGCCCUCUUUAUGUACCAACAAAAAAAAAUCCGAAAACUAGCUAAAGAUAGAGCCACUCUAUCAAGACUAUGAGCAAUUUUACUGAUUUAUCUCCUAAUAAACUUAACGGGAGUUCACAAGAAUAGUAGUUAACAAAUGUCUAUAAUCAUUAAUAAUAGCGUUGAAAUCAGGUCAUAAGUUUUGUUACCGUAACGACAAUUCACCUCCUGUUUGCAAUCUAUUUCAAAAUCCAUAUUAAGCAAUAGACUCAAAGACUGCAGUCAACAACCUCAUAGCUUCGCCUACUUCAACAUAUAUAGGCUUAGGCACGAUCCACUCAGUGGCGGAUCCCAAAAUUUGUACUAGUGAGGACUAGAAAAUAGUGUAUAUGUUUUUACUAAAAAAAAUAUUACAGACAUUUUAAAAAUAAACAACAAUAGUGAAAAAAAACUUAAAAUAUAGAAAAGCCUAUAUAAAUUACAAUGGAUCUCUACAAAAUUUUAUAUUAUAAAAAUGUUCGAUGAUAUCUAUACUGCCAACAUUAUAAAAUUUGUCACUUUUUAUAUAUGUAAAUAAACGAUUAUUCAAGUAAAAUAAAAGUAAGAGAAAAAGACAACAAAUAGUUGAAAGAAAAGAAUAUGAUACUUCGAUGAAUUAAGAGAGAAGAAGAGUAAAGUUAUGAGAGGAAGUUUGUGGAAAUUUAAAAAUUAAGUAGUGGAAAGUUGAUAAAUAAAAUGAUAAAUUUAUGACGAGAGAAUAAUAGACCUAACAAUGGGGGUUUAAGAAAAUAUUAUACUAAUAUUAAAAGAAAAUUAUUUUUUUGGUGGGGGCUUGAGCCCCCAAUACCUUAUGCUCUCAAACAAACCGACUUAAAUUAUCCCUUAUACAAAUACCAAUCCAACUUUAUUGUUAUGUAAAAAAAAUAUUUCAUGUAUGAUAUUUCUAUUUUUAUAUGAAAUAAAAAAACAUAAACUAAAAUAUGUGUAAAAAGCAAUACUCAUAAGAUAGAAAUAAUUUAUGUUUAAAUAUCACAUUAGUCCCUGUAUGUUUCUGGUUUUUUGGUUUUAGUUCCUGUAUGUUUUUUUUUUUAAAAUAGUUCCUGCAUGUUCAAUUCCUUUUGGUUUUCGUCCUUCCCCUAUAAAAAAUACUGAUGUGGCUAACAGCAUGACAUGUAGCAUGCUGACGUGACAAAUGAAGGACUAAAAUAAAAAAAGUUAUUAUUGAUGGACCAAAACUAAAAAAUAAAGUUUAAAAUCCCUAAAAUUAAAAAAAAAAUGUUUUUAGUUUAACGUUUUUUAAUUUUAAAAAUAAAUAAAUAAACAAUUUUUUUUAUGCAAGACAAGUUGAGUGCAGCUUUGCACUCAGACAAGUUAUAUUAUUAACAAUUUUUUAGUGCCUUAAUGGUCACUUGUUAUUAAUUAGUUUGUGCAAUAUUAAGUCUCCGUUUGAAUUAGCUUAUUUUUGAGCUUAUUCAAACAACUUAUACAAUAUAAAUUAAGUUUUAUGCUAUUUUAUAAGUUCACACUAAUGAAAAUUGUAUUUUAUAAGCUAUUUUAUCAUAAACUACCUUGACAAACUUAUAAUACUCCCUAUUGGUGAAUUAAAAUAAAGGUAUAAUAGGAAAAUCAGGUGCAAAAAUACACUUUCUUAAUAUUAUUUUUUUUCUAAAAUGUCAAGUAAUUUGAAACGAAUGGGGUAAUACAUAAAAAUUGCAUAAACUGUUUGUAUAAACUCAAAAAUAAGCUAAUUCAAAUGGGGCCUAAGUUGAUGUGCAAUUUUAAGCACACUGUCAUUAUAGCCAGAUUUUUUAGCAUGUCCUAAACCAAUUUUAGUACACCAUGAACAAGUUUUUACACUGCUUAUGAAUUUUAAAUUUUAACACUCUUAUAUAUAUAUAUAUUAAAUUUUGUUUUUUAUUUGAAAAAAAUUGGUUUUUUUAAAAGUAAAAAAUUAUUUUUAAAAAAAAAAUAUUUUAGGAAUUUUGUUUUUUUGGUUUUGGUCCUUCAUUAAAUUUUUUUUUGGUUUUGGUCCUUCAUUUGUCACAUCAGCAUGUCAUAUGUCAUGCCGUUAGCCACAUCAGCAUUUUUGAGAAGGGAGAGACGAAAACCAAAAUGAAUUGGACAUUCAGGAAAUGUUUUUUUAAAAAAAAAACAUAGAGGGACUAAAACCAAAAAAACGAAAACAUACAUGGACCAAUGUGAUAUUUAAACCAAUAAUUUAAUUAUUUCAGAAAAUAUGAAACCAGCCUUUUUCAUUUGUACUUGAUUAAAAUAAAUAUAAAUUUCUUUUUUUUAAUGGAAAAAUAUAUAAAUAAAUUUUUAAAAUAAUGCAAUAAUCAGAAAAUAAAUUUGUUUAGUGGGGGUAUUAUUUUUUUUUCUUCCUGGUACAUGGGGGUACUCUACUCCAUGCACUGUAGGAUUAUAUUUAAAUACUAAUAUUAGUACAAAUAAUUGUUCUAGGGGUCUACAAUUAUUUCUUUUUAAGGCGUCUUGUUGGAUUUAUUGAUCACAAGUGGUUGGGAAAAAAACAAAUCCAAUCGAAUAACAUCUGUGCGGGACAGGGUAUCCCCGCACCUAAACAUAUAACUAUGUCCUACAAUCUUGUUUUUCUCGACAAAAAUAUACAAUGGCCUACAAUCUUGACAAGCAUUCAAUUCAAUAUAGACUAAAAUAAAAUUAUAAAUAUAUUAUUGAAAAGGCUUAAUACCUAGGGUUUGAGUUUAACAGCAUAGAUUUUCUUCAUCGAAAAAAAAAUCCAUUAUUCCCUCCAUAUAUAUUUAAUCUUGGUCUUUAAAUUUUUAUUUUUCAAAAUUUUAGUCCUUUUAAAAAAUUAAGGUACAAUUAAUGAUAUUUUAUCAUUUGUAGCCUUGCAAAACUUAAAUGCAUUUAUUAAAUGUAUUUUAUUUUGUUCACAAGUCCUAGUUCAAUUGACAAAAAAUAUCGAAUUAGUUCUCUCACUUGUGCGUGAGUUUAUGAUAGUUUUGUUAUUUCGUCUUUGUAAAAAAAAUGCAUUUUAUUCUUUUUUAAUAAGUUAAGUGUAAAAAAAACUUAAUUUAGCCAAAUUCAUUAUUUUUUUCAUUCAUAUGUCUAAUUCUAAAAAAACAGGAGCGGAGAGAGUACUAAUUACUUUUGUCGGCAAAAAUAAGUAUUAAAUGUUUAUAUAAAUAUUUAUAUAAAUGUUUAUGUAAAUGACUACGUACGUAUGAAUUUUUGGGCAUGUCAAUACUCAAUAUUCUUAUCUGUAAAAGAGAAAGUGUAUUUGUUAAGCAUGUUAAAAUAGAAAUUCUGUCUCGAAAUGCGUGCAUUCAAUGCCUUAAAAGUACAAAAAGUUGUCUUUUCAAUAUAAAUUUUAUUUUUUAUUUCCUUUUUAGGUAUGCUUAACAAGUGCCCCGGGGCACUGUUUAGCAUGACUCUUAUUAUAUUGAUCAGUUUAUACUUUAUAAUAUAUUAUAGUAGUAGUAGAGUAGUAAACAAUAGUUUAAUAAGAAAAUAUUUAAGAGUCUCAUUACAUAUAAGACAAAUGAUUCCGGUAUACUAAUACUUUUACUUUAUUUUUACACGAUAAAUUAUGUUUUUGUAAUUGGUUUCUUAUAUAUGUUCCAUAUCAACUAAAAAUAUAUCUAGUCAUGCCUUGGCAUCGAAUAUGAGUAUGAUUUAAUUACCUAAACCAUAUAUAUAAUUACAUUGUAAAGUUUUCUUUAAUUACCUUUACAGAACAAGAGUGCAAAAUAAAAAUACAAAAAAGUGAGGUGAUGAUGAUGACGAAGGAUGUGAAGGAAUAUCCUAUUGGAACAUAUUUUCUGUCAUCAUGAAGUAAGAAUACCAAGUUGAUGAAAAAUUCCAAAAGCUAGAAAACUUGACCAUAAAAAACAAAAAAGCUAAUAAGUCAAGCUCAAUAGUUGCUCCAGAUAUUCAGCACCCAAAUCCUCAAACUCAAACACAUUUUGGGAAUUUGUACUAUUGGUUUUGGUCUCUACUUGAAUCUGAAUUUGCUCACUUUGAUAAUCACUUUUGAUUUUCUUAUUUUUACUAACCUUAUUGGACUUUUUUCUCAUGAUGUGUUUUCUCUUGAGUGCCAAUACAGGUGAAGUACCUUCUUCCAAAGGCUUACAAUUUCUAGCCAUGUCUUUAAGUGAUUCUCUAACCACUUCCUCAGGAAAAUUUAACACUGCUAAUGAACCUCUCGUUGAAAAAGCCGCUUGGUCAUAAGCUAAAGCGGCUGCUUCAGCCGUGUCAAAUGUUCCAAUCCAUACUCUAACCCCUUUUCUUGUUGAGUCUCUUAUCUCGGCCGCAAAUUUUCCCCAUGGCCUACUUCUGACUCCUCUAAAUGCCCUUUUGUUACUUUCCUUACUCGGAAGUGGUGGAGGUGAUGAUGACGAUGUUUGUGUCUCUUUGAUUUGUUUAUAAGUUGUAUUCGAUGAGACUUCUAAUAAUUCAUUGCUUAGUACGGAUCCAUAAGAGUUGGAUUCGCCCGAUGAUAAUGAUAAUGAUUCUUUGGUUUGUGAUUGUGAGUCGUUGUUGAAGUUGAUGUCAUCAUUGAAGAAAUUAACGAAAUCUUCUAAUUCCCAAGAGAAAUUAGAGAAGGAAUUUUGAGGGAAGCAUAGAAGGUUUUGAUUUUGGUUUUGGAGGAGAGGAGAAUCAAAAUUCA